Molecule: ribosomal RNA, 380 nt
Filed under: uncultured marine Chaetocerotaceae
Lineage: Eukaryota; Bacillariophyta; Thalassiosirophyceae; Chaetocerotales; Chaetocerotaceae
Description: SSU rRNA
Rfam family: Eukaryotic small subunit ribosomal RNA
Source: RNAcentral
AGCUCCAAUAGCGUAUAUUAAAGUUGUUGCAGUUAAAAAGCUCGUAGUUGAAUUUCUGGUGAGCGAGAGCGGUCCGAUCAAUGAUUGGUGCUUGCUUUCGCUGGCCAUCCUUGGGUUUAGCCAGUCUGGCAUUAAGUUGUCGGGCUGGGGAUGCCCAUCGUUUACUGUGAAAAAAUUAGAGUGUUCAAAGCAGACUUAUGUCGUUGAAUAUAUUAGCAUGGAAUAAUAAGAUAGGACUACAGUGCUAUUUUGUUGGUUUGCGCACCGUGGUAAUGAUGAAUAGGGACAGUUGUGGGUAUUCGUAUUCACUUGUAAGAGGUGAAAUUCUUAGAUUAAGGGAAGACGAACUACUGCGAAAGCAUUUACCAAGGAUGUUUUCA